UCGGUAGAGCAAAGGACUGAAAAUCCUUGUGUCGGCGGUUCGAUUCCGUCCUGAACCA
This 58-nucleotide transfer RNA is filed under the name Staphylococcus pseudintermedius. RNAcentral's name for it is "tRNA-Phe". It matches the Rfam family "tRNA", at positions 16 to 71 of the family's 71-position model. From Rfam's summary of the family: Transfer RNA (tRNA) molecules are approximately 80 nucleotides in length. The record is from RNAcentral. Lineage: Bacteria; Bacillati; Bacillota; Bacilli; Caryophanales; Staphylococcaceae.